AAGAGUCCCUUCCUAACUGACUGAAGACAUGUAAAUGACCCAGUGCAUCCCUGGGAGUGCCAACUGGCGGAAGUGGCGGUGACAUCAUGCGCCCAUCCGGCUCCAAGCCUUCCAGCAGCCUGAGGUCAGCUCAGAGAGCCAUGGCACCUCCCCCAGCAGCCACACGCUGAGCCAAGUGGAGCCUGGCACUGCCAGGGCUGGGGCUGGGCUGCCAGCUCGGAUUCCAUGAGUCCUUCCUUCCUCACAUACCCGGCUCUGUGAUGGCUUCUCCUCCCGGCUCCUCCUCCUCCUCCUCCUCCAUUGCGUCUCUGAACAGCACUCCCCGACAAACGUGAGAUUGCUGCUUCUCAUAUAACACAUGAGCUGUGGUGUGAACUUCUGGUAAAUGAAGAUCUUAUUUAAACUGCAUGCUAUCAGGGGAGGAGAAGAGACAGGUUCCAACAUAGCUCAGCUGGCUUGCCAGAAAAAAAUGGAGGUGCUGGGGGGUGCCGGAGGUGCUGGGGCCCAGAGCCAUCAGUGUUUCUGAGAAGUGCUUCCAGAGGGGCAACGGGGCCCUGGACAGCAGUUUGCAAUUUAUCUGGGAGGGACAGACAGGGUACCACUUUCCAAGGAGGGUUUGGCAAGGAGGUUACCCCUCCGGGGAACUGUUUGCCACGUGGAACAAAAUAGCCCGAGGUCAUAAGGCAUCCCCAAAAGGUAGGACUUGGAUGGGAUGGAGAGCACAGAGUGUAUCUGAUUCCAGCCCUCCGCCUUCUUUGCACAAUAGAACCACAAAAGAGCUCUGACAGAUCCCAGCUCCCAGGUCCAAGCCUACAGCCACAGAAGUCAGAACCUCGGGGUGGAUCUGGGUGCCCCAGGAUCCCACGGUUUCAGCUAAGGUUGGAGAAUCCCAGAACUAGACUCUCCCCCGGGGUCUUGCCAAGUCCCGUUGUCUGCAAAUGCAGGUGGAGAGAGCCAGGUGUGUGAACUCAGGGUAAACUCUAGCUGAUGCUGCCAUACGACACAGAAUUCACUUAAGCAAGCAUCUGCUCACGGAGGCCCACUCGGGGUGGGACACUGGUCUGAGCAUUGGGAUACAUCCCUGAGGGACACAGCCCUGCCCUUGUGGAGUGAGAGAGAAGCCAGGGGCCUGAUAAGGCAGGGAACUUCUGGGUGCACACACAUGAUAACUCCAGAUGGUGGCAAGUACUGACAGGUGGUUACGACGGAGCCUUCUAAGAGGGGACACCUGAGCUGACACAUGACAAAAAAAAAAAAAAGAGUCAUUUAGGUCAAACCUGGGGUUCCCAUACUCCACACCGGGGCAGGUUUCCUCACGUGAAAACAAGGGCUCUUCUCCAUGAGCUAUGGAACCCACGCUCCCGUCAACAGCGAUCACAUUCACAGGGUGGCCCAUGGUGGUGCCCUGCCAUGUUCAAAUGGCACCUAGCUGGACAGGAAAUGCUGGAGGCCAGUGGGCAUGACAGUUGUCCUCUCUACCCCUCAGGAAAUUCUACAGGCUACUGGGGUAUGGAGACAUUAGAAAACGUUGGACUGAGAGAAGGAAGGGGUUGGAGUCUACUAAGCUAACCCUCCAUCUAACAGGUCUAUUUGAAAGCAGGCUACGUUAAACCUGCAUCUCAGAUGAGAAAACUGGACAAAGAGCAGCCAACUGUCAACUGGAGGGUCCUGGGGAUCCAGAACCCCCAAGAAAAAAUGCACGCUUUGUCUGAGAUUUAGGAUAAUUUACAAAUGCUUUGCAUCUGACUCAAGGUGGACUGAGGCAGCUGGAGGGUCUGUUAUCUGUGUGUCACACUGAGACUUGGCCUUUGAGCCAAAGCUCCCAAGCUCCUGGAAAUUCUUCAGAUAACACAGGCUCUCUCACUGAUAACCUCUGGAACCUACAAGUCACUUCAUGAGGCCAACCUGAGCCUUAUCCAAAAUGGCUGCAAAGAAUCUCAGAACUCCCUAGGAUGACCCGUUCCACCUUAGGUCUAAUACAGCCUGUCAAGCAGCACUUUCUAGGAAGAAGAAAGGUGAGCAGAGAGUUAUGGGUAGGCUCCCUCCCUUCAAUGGUCCAGUCUAUUCCAUUCCAUCUUCCCAAAGACUACCAGGUCCGCCACUUUCAGACAGGAGAGCCCCAGGCUCAGGGAAUUGCACUUAAGAGAUGCAGCCAACAGUUGCCUUUAGCCUGCUGGCUAUGGGUGGGAUAGGACCUCUGUUGGUCUUUUCUGUGUCAAACACACAGAUUGCAAGCCCAGUGCCAC
Molecule: long non-coding RNA, 2246 nt
Organism: Peromyscus leucopus (white-footed mouse)
Lineage: Eukaryota; Metazoa; Chordata; Mammalia; Rodentia; Cricetidae
Exons: 3
Source: RefSeq, a predicted model, not a curated record